AUUGAACGCUGGCGGCAUGCCUUACACAUGCAAGUCGAACGGCAGCGCGGGAGCAAUCCUGGCGGCGAGUGGCGAACGGGUGAGUAAUACAUCGGAACGUGCCCAAUCGUGGGGGAGUAACGCAGCGAAAGACUGUGCUAAUACCGCAUACGAUCUACGGAUGAAAGCAGGGGAGUCGCAAGACCUUGCGCGAAUGGAGCGGCCGAUGGCAGAUUAGGUAGUUGGUGAGGUAAAGGCUCACCAAGCCUUCGAUCUGUAGCUGGUCUGAGAGGACGACCAGCCACACUGGGACGUGAGACACGGCCCAGACUCCUACGGGAGGCAGCAGUGGGG
Molecule: ribosomal RNA, 333 nt
Filed under: uncultured bacterium
Lineage: Bacteria
Description: bacterial SSU rRNA
Rfam family: Bacterial small subunit ribosomal RNA
Source: RNAcentral